CUUUAAACAUUCACAGGUGCACUUGUGGCAAUUGUGGUGCAAUGCCCACUGAGCAAGAACAUAAAUGCUGCAUGGAGACCCCUGAAGUUGUCAGAAUAAUUAACCAGGCACCAGUACCACCUACCUGUAUGAUUCAUCACCCGGGACUUGAACCUGUUUGCCUAAAUUUGUAUUCGUUACAGAAUGCACAUAACAUUUACAGGGCAGACUAUGGUCCUUUGAGACUCAGAGGGUUACACCAGCGCUACAGGCAUUUGGCUUACAGAAGCUUUGUCAGUUGGUGCUGGGGCUAUCUAGGCAGAAAGAUCAGGGUUGUAAUACCAUCAUGUGCUGUCCUGUGUAUACGG
Long non-coding RNA from Carassius carassius (crucian carp), 347 nucleotides. RefSeq lists it as uncharacterized. The record is from RefSeq and is a predicted model, not a curated record. The transcript is spliced from 3 exons. Lineage: Eukaryota; Metazoa; Chordata; Actinopteri; Cypriniformes; Cyprinidae.